UGGCUCAGAUUGAACGCUGGCGGAAUGCUUUACACAUGCAAGUCGAGCGGCAGCGCGGGGCACCUGGCGGCGAGCGGCGAACGGGUGAGUAAUACAUCGGAACAUACCCAGUCGUGGGGGAUAACACUUCGAAAGAAGUGCUAAUACCGCAUACGUCCUGAGGGAGAAAGCGGGGGAUCUUCGGACCUCGCGCGAUUGGAGUGGCCGAUGUCAGAUUAGCUAGUUGGUGGGGUAAAGGCCUACCAAGGCGACGAUCUGUAGCUGGUCUGAGAGGACGACCAGCCACACUGGGACUGAGACACGGCCCAGACUCCUACGGGAGGCAGCAGUGGGGAAUUUUGGACAAUGGGGGCAACCCUGAUCCAGCCAUUCCGCGUGAGUGAAGAAGGCCUUCGGGUUGUAAAGCUCUUUCGGCAGGAACGAAACGGCGCGCUCUAACAUAGCGCGUUAAUGACGGUACCUGAAGAAGAAGCACCGGCUAACUACGUGCCAGCAGCCGCGGUAAUACGUAGGGUGCGAGCGUUAAUCGGAAUUACUGGGCGUAAAGCGUGCGCAGGCGGUU
RNAcentral lists this ribosomal RNA (562 nucleotides) under uncultured beta proteobacterium. RNAcentral describes it as "bacterial SSU rRNA". It matches the Rfam family "Bacterial small subunit ribosomal RNA", at positions 20 to 580 of the family's 1533-position model. Lineage: Bacteria; Pseudomonadati; Pseudomonadota; Betaproteobacteria. The record is from RNAcentral.